This 60-nucleotide microRNA precursor is filed under the name Scyliorhinus torazame (cloudy catshark). Its description in RNAcentral is "Sto-Mir-29-P2d_pre stem-loop". It matches the Rfam family "mir-29 microRNA precursor family", at positions 6 to 64 of the family's 70-position model. Rfam says of the family: This family represents the microRNA (miRNA) precursors mir-29. Lineage: Eukaryota; Metazoa; Chordata; Chondrichthyes; Carcharhiniformes; Scyliorhinidae. The record is from RNAcentral.
ACUGGUUUCUUCUGGUGUUCAGAGUCAUGGUUCAGUUCUAGCACCAUUUGAAAUCGGUUA